GCAAGUCGAGGGGCAGCAAAAUACUUCGGUAUUGUUGGCGACCGGCGAAUGGGUGCGUAACGCGUAUGCAACCUGCCUUAUACAGGGGUAUAGCUCUCGGAAACGAGAAUUAAUUCCCCAUAUUAUCCAUUUAUCGCAUGAUAUUUGGAUGAAAGUUUUUCGGUAUAAGAUGGGCAUGCGUCCUAUUAGCUUGUUGAUGAGGUAAUGGCUUACCAAGGCUACGAUAGGUAGGGGGUCUGAGAGGAUGUCC
RNAcentral lists this ribosomal RNA (250 nucleotides) under uncultured bacterium. RNAcentral's name for it is "partial 16S ribosomal RNA". It matches the Rfam family "Bacterial small subunit ribosomal RNA", at positions 57 to 305 of the family's 1533-position model. The record is from RNAcentral.